UACGGAGGGUGCAAGCGUUGUCCGGAUUUACUGGGUGUAAAGGGUGUGUAGGUGGAAUUGCAAGUCAGUGGUGAAAUCCUACGGCUUAACCGUAGAACUGCCAUUGAUACUGCUCUUCUUGAGUACUGGAGAGGUUACUAGAAUUCGUGGUGUAGCGGUGAAAUGCGUAGAUAUCACGAGGAAUACCAGAGGCGUAGGCGGGUAACUGGACAGAUACUGACACUGAGGCACGAAAGCGUGGGGAGCAAAC
This 250-nucleotide ribosomal RNA is filed under the name uncultured bacterium. RNAcentral's name for it is "partial 16S ribosomal RNA". It matches the Rfam family "Bacterial small subunit ribosomal RNA", at positions 524 to 773 of the family's 1533-position model. The record is from RNAcentral.